Molecule: long non-coding RNA, 1840 nt
Organism: Magnolia sinica
Lineage: Eukaryota; Viridiplantae; Streptophyta; Magnoliopsida; Magnoliales; Magnoliaceae
Exons: 5
Source: RefSeq, a predicted model, not a curated record
GUGUAUACUUUUUAUGGAAAACUCAUUUCGUAGUCCAUUCCUGUCUGAAUAUGAUUUGUAGAGGUGGUGUUUUGUUCUUUAUUCUCUAUUGUAUACUUCUAAAUCUUUCUCAUCCUUUCUUUCCUUCUGGAUUAUGUGGAUUUUUUCCUCAACAAAUAGAUUCAUUGCUUCGUUGCAUUCUUGUUACUGCAUUGUAGCCUGUCGGUGUGUUUUAUCUGCUUUCUUCUUUAUUCUAUUGGAAUAUGAAGCCCUUUUUGUGCAAGUAUCAUGGGCAAUGUAAAUGAAAUCACACAUUCAUUCAUGUAAUCACAGUUGCAAAAAUUCAGCAUUAUUUCUAAACUGAAUUUAUUUCUAGAUUUUUUAGAAAAAGUAUUGAUUGGUGUCCAACACAAGCAUCUAAUAACCUGUUAGAGAAUGCAGAGUUGACAGGCUUCACUCACAAAUUGCUUGUUAUCUCGCUGGAUCAUGCAAUACACUUGUCGCAUUCAUCAAUUACAUAAUGCUUCCCUCUUAUUUCUCAUAUUAAGGUUAGGAUGAGGCAGAUUCCACAUCCUCCUAUUUAUUCUUCUCUUUCCUUCUUAUCCUGAGUUUUCUUAGUCCUAUGAAAAAUGUUAGAAUUGUUGGUUAUUUAUUAUUUAAUAGUUAGCCAAAUAUUAAUAAUUCAGUACCAUAUUCAUGUAGCCAUCCCUGAUUAGUUGGGAUAGUCAAUACCAUAUUUGUGCACCAAAUAUGUUUGAUUUGCUGAGAUAUUUCUCAUGAAUCCAAAUAUUCUUGGUUGUUGCGUAACACUGUAACUCGUUUUUAUACUUUGAUUUGCUGAGAUUUCGUCUCUGUCGAGCUCUGUCAAUGUGCAUGAGAAGGGUAAUUUGAUUCUGCAUACGACAUAUGAGGAGGGAGCGCAGAAUGCGGUGGCGGAGCACAGCCUCGCGCCUUCGGUAGCAGUGAAACGGAGAUUGGAAGUUGCAAUAUGAGAUAUGGUUGCAAUAGCAAAGAUAAUGAACGCAACAUUGGUCCUUCCUUCUCUUGAUCAUAAGUCCUUUUGGACAGAUCUGAGUGAUUUUAAGGACCCUUUUGAUUGGAAGCGCUUCAUAGAAGUCUUGAAAGAUGAUGUUGAGAUAGUGGAGUUCCUCUCACAUGCAUUUAAGUGUAAAAAUGCUACAUAUUGCAAAUGGCUAUGAUAUUCGAGUUUGGGGAUAUUUGGAUUACAGUCCAUCUACAGUAGGAGGCCCAUCAAAUGGAUAAUUUGGAUGGGAACUGAGACAUGAUUAAACUAGGUGAUUUGUGAGACUUUUUUCUAUUUGGUGUAUAUGGAUUGUUUGAUCUGAUAACAAAGAGUGGCCCAUAUCUUGAAGGCAAAAAUUUCCACUAAAAACAUCUCACUAUUGUAUUUUGAGGUUAUUUUUUCACUGUAUCCAUAUUCUCCUGACAUUCUUCACUAUUGUAUUUAGAGAAGAUAAAUUUCUUAUAUGCUUCUCGCUAACUCUGAGAUUUAUGGUUACAGAGUAGUGUAGAAUGUGGUUGUCCCAUUUGACAAUUGUAGAUGCAGCCAUUACGAACUUUAUGUAGGCCUUUGUACUGCUGCAUAUAUGGUCAUUAUUUAAUUUGUCUGUCAAAGCUUGAGUUCUGAGGUUGUGGUGGAAGGAAAUGUCAGGUUUCUUUUGGGAAAAAGUUCCAUUCAUUUUUUGGGAAAUGGUGGAAAAGGAAAUCAAUUUCCACACCUAUUUUUGCUUUUGCAAUCACAGGAAAACAUCACAUCUAUGGAAAUUGAUUUCAUUUCCACUGUUUUCUAGAGUUCUCGACCAAUCCAAACUGUUGGAAGGAAUAGAAAAACCAGCAUGGA